This 427-nucleotide ribosomal RNA is filed under the name uncultured Oxalobacteraceae bacterium. RNAcentral's name for it is "bacterial SSU rRNA". It matches the Rfam family "Bacterial small subunit ribosomal RNA", at positions 355 to 774 of the family's 1533-position model. The record is from RNAcentral. Lineage: Bacteria; Pseudomonadati; Pseudomonadota; Betaproteobacteria; Burkholderiales; Oxalobacteraceae. RNAcentral also lists the same sequence under 2 other names.
UGGGGAAUUUUGGACAAUGGGGGCAACCCUGAUCCAGCAAUGCCGCGUGAGUGAAGAAGGCCUUCGGGUUGUAAAGCUCUUUUGUCAGGGAAGAAAAGGUCGUGGCUAAUAUCCACGACUGCUGACGGUACCUGAAGAAUAAGCACCGGCUAACUACGUGCCAGCAGCCGCGGUAAUACGUAGGGUGCAAGCGUUAAUCGGAAUUACUGGGCGUAAAGCGUGCGCAGGCGGUUUCGUAAGUCUGUCGUGAAAUCCCCGGGCUUAACCUGGGAAUGGCGAUGGAGACUGCGAGGCUAGAGUUUGGCAGAGGGGGGUAGAAUUCCACGUGUAGCAGUGAAAUGCGUAGAGAUGUGGAGGAACACCGAUGGCGAAGGCAGCCCCCUGGGUCAAAACUGACGCUCAUGCACGAAAGCGUGGGGAGCAAACA